Molecule: ribosomal RNA, 804 nt
Filed under: Cordyceps bifusispora
Lineage: Eukaryota; Fungi; Ascomycota; Sordariomycetes; Hypocreales; Cordycipitaceae
Description: LSU rRNA
Rfam family: Eukaryotic large subunit ribosomal RNA
Source: RNAcentral
AGUAACGGCGAGUGAAGCGGCAACAGCUCAAAUUUGAAAUCUGGCCCCCGGGUCCGAGUUGUAAUUUGCAGAGGAUGCUUCGGGCGAGGUGCCUUCCGAGUUCCCUGGAACGGGACGCCACAGAGGGUGAGAGCCCCGUCUGGUCGGACACCGAGCCCGUGUGAAGCUCCUUCGAAGAGUCGAGUAGUUUGGGAAUGCUGCUCAAAAUGGGAGGUAUAUGUCUUCUAAAGCUAAAUAUUGGCCAGAGACCGAUAGCGCACAAGUAGAGUGAUCGAAAGAUGAAAAGCACUUUGAAAAGAGGGUUAAAAAGUACGUGAAAUUGUUGAAAGGGAAGCGCCCAUGACCAGACUUGGGCCCGGUGAAUCACCCGGCGUUCUCGCCGGUGCACUUUGCCGGGCACAGGCCAGCAUCAGUUUGGCGCGGGGGAUAAAGGCUUCGGGAAUGUGGCUCCCUCGGGAGUGUUAUAGCCCGCUGCGUAAUACCCUGCGCCGGACUGAGGUACGCGCAUCGCAAGGAUGCUGGCGUAAUGGUCAUCAGCGACCCGUCUUGAAACACGGACCAAGGAGUCGUCUUCGUAUGCGAGUGUUCGGGUGUCAAACCCCUACGCGGAAUGAAAGUGAACGCAGGUGAGAGCUUCGGCGCAUCAUCGACCGAUCCUGAUGUUCUCGGACGGAUUUGAGUAAGAGCAUACGGGGCCGGACCCGAAAGAAGGUGAACUAUGCCUGUAUAGGGUGAAGCCAGAGGAAACUCUGGUGGAAGCUCGCAGCGGUUCUGACGUGCGAAUCGAUCGUCAAAUAUGGGCAU